UACAACAACAUACUCAGGAAGGAAUUC
This 27-nucleotide non-coding RNA is filed under the name Mus musculus (house mouse). Lineage: Eukaryota; Metazoa; Chordata; Mammalia; Rodentia; Muridae. The record is from RNAcentral.